RNAcentral lists this ribosomal RNA (1150 nucleotides) under Lactiplantibacillus plantarum. RNAcentral describes it as "bacterial SSU rRNA". It matches the Rfam family "Bacterial small subunit ribosomal RNA", at positions 334 to 1475 of the family's 1533-position model. Lineage: Bacteria; Bacillati; Bacillota; Bacilli; Lactobacillales; Lactobacillaceae. The record is from RNAcentral.
UAUUUCUGGGGGGAGGCACCGUUUGGGAUUUCUCCCACAAGGGAAAAAUUUUGGAGGGACAACCCCCGCUGAAGGAAGAAGGGUUUCGGUUGGAAAAAUUUGGUUUUUAAAGAAGAACAUUUUUGAGAGUAACUGUUCAGGUAUUGACGGUAUUUAACCAGAAAGCCAGGGCUAAUUACGUGCCAGCAGCCGCGGUAAUACGUAGGUGGCCAGCGUUGUCCGGAUUUAUUGGGCGUAAAGCGAGCGCAGGCGGUUUUUUAAGUCUGAUGUGAAAGCCUUCGGCUCAACCGAAGAAGUGCAUCGGAAACUGGGAAACUUGAGUGCAGAAGAGGACAGUGGAACUCCAUGUGUAGCGGUGAAAUGCGUAGAUAUAUGGAAGAACACCAGUGGCGAAGGCGGCUGUCUGGUCUGUAACUGACGCUGAGGCUCGAAAGUAUGGGUAGCAAACAGGAUUAGAUACCCUGGUAGUCCAUACCGUAAACGAUGAAUGCUAAGUGUUGGAGGGUUUCCGCCCUUCAGUGCUGCAGCUAACGCAUUAAGCAUUCCGCCUGGGGAGUACGGCCGCAAGGCUGAAACUCAAAGGAAUUGACGGGGGCCCGCACAAGCGGUGGAGCAUGUGGUUUAAUUCGAAGCUACGCGAAGAACCUUACCAGGUCUUGACAUACUAUGCAAAUCUAAGAGAUUAGACGUUCCCUUCGGGGACAUGGAUACAGGUGGUGCAUGGUUGUCGUCAGCUCGUGUCGUGAGAUGUUGGGUUAAGUCCCGCAACGAGCGCAACCCUUAUUAUCAGUUGCCAGCAUUAAGUUGGGCACUCUGGUGAGACUGCCGGUGACAAACCGGAGGAAGGUGGGGAUGACGUCAAAUCAUCAUGCCCCUUAUGACCUGGGCUACACACGUGCUACAAUGGAUGGUACAACGAGUUGCGAACUCGCGAGAGUAAGCUAAUCUCUUAAAGCCAUUCUCAGUUCGGAUUGUAGGCUGCAACUCGCCUACAUGAAGUCGGAAUCGCUAGUAAUCGCGGAUCAGCAUGCCGCGGUGAAUACGUUCCCGGGCCUUGUACACACCGCCCGUCACACCAUGAGAGUUUGUAACACCCAAAGUCGGUGGGGUAACCUUUAGGAACCAGCCGCCUAAGGUGGACAGAGAUGGA